GACACUUCAUCGCGGCUUUUCCUCGAGAGCUCCUGUGUUUUCACCUAGGCGGUCUCUCUCUUUCCGUCUCCUUUUCCAUGUCUGCUGACCGCCGUCAUAUCAACGCACGCCAAGCCACAUUUGUACGUCCUCACAGCUUCGCUCAGUCUAUGAGACUGCUCUGGCACGGGGCAAGUGCCACAGGAUGCUCGGAAACUUGGACGCAGCCGCUGGAGAUGCUCUGCGCAGCUUCCACGACGCGCUAGAUCAAGCCCAGCAGUCGCUCCAGCGAGAUGAGGGGCGCCUCCGCGCAACGGCGCAGCUGCUAAGCGAUUUGACGCUAGAGGUGGACUGCCUAAAAGCGGACAGCGCCCCCAACAGCGCCACUCGUCAGCGACGGGAAGCACUUCAAGCGGAAAAGCUAAAAAUGCUGCAUCACACGCGGCAUCAACGCGAGGCCAUUGCCGCGACGGCGGCCCACAUCCAGCAUCUGAAAGAGCCCCGCGUGAAGCUCACCGAGCGGGUGGAUACGCUGAAAGCGGACGUCAAGGCGCUCCGUCGACAGUACGGGCUUCGAGCGGCACAGGUACACGCAUUCAUUGCGCAGUUUUUGCAGCCGCAGAACAGCCUGGAAAAUCUUCGAUGCCAGCUUGCGCAACUCCAGCAGGGGCGUGUCUCCCAAGCAGAGGCUUUGAGGGCGUCCACACGGCAUCUGGAGGAGCUAAAGGCAGAGUUAGCAGCACUGAAAGCUGCCGGCCGGUUUGAUACGACCACCGAUCCAAACGGAGACUCCACCGCAGGCAAUGACCAACCUCUGGGAGCCAAGCGCGACCAUGAAGCUGCUGCAGCGUCAGGACUAGCUAGCGACGGCAAUGGGGAAGAGCUAAACGCUGAGGGCGACGAGUGCACUGGGAGUGUGCCUCUUCUCAGUGAAGCAGAUAGGCGCUCUGAGGCGAGGAGGCGGCGGUCUGAGCAGGCGGCUGCCCACAAAGCCGCUGAGACUCAGCAGGCUGCGGAGCAAGCGAGGCUCGAGGCCCUUCGCGUGGAUCUGAAACGCCAGGUCUUGCUGCUCUGCCAAGAGAUUGAGGGAGCCGACGCAGCGCAGCAGCGAGAGCAAAAGGCGUACCAUGACGCGUUGAAUGACGCCGCAAGUGGAGCUGGUGGAGGCGUGCUCCGGCAGUGCCAGAGGUGCGCGUGCGACCUUUUUGACGGCUUCUCGUGACAGAUACCGAAGGAGAGGGGUGGGGUGGUGUGGGGGAGAGAGAACGUUGGAGAAGUUUAUCAUCAGAGAUUGUGCAAGCGCUUCUACUGCUUUUUACUCUGCUAGAGGUCCAUGGACAGAGUUCUGUCGAUGUCCCGUUUCUUUGAAUUCCAACACUGCUUUCUGAUGUGCAUCCUCAAAAAGCCCUCAAGGAGAGUCUAUGCGACCUAUUCAGCUGCACAGAAGCACGUUUGCCUCGUCUCGCUAAACUGGAU
RNAcentral lists this unclassified non-coding RNA (1455 nucleotides) under Leishmania donovani. RNAcentral's name for it is "gene:LdHU3.31.2250(CDS-product:hypothetical_prote in_conserved)". Lineage: Eukaryota; Euglenozoa; Kinetoplastea; Trypanosomatida; Trypanosomatidae. The record is from RNAcentral.